Non-coding RNA from Spinacia oleracea (spinach), 73 nucleotides. The record is from Rfam. Lineage: Eukaryota; Viridiplantae; Streptophyta; Magnoliopsida; Caryophyllales; Amaranthaceae.
GUGUCUGUAGCUCAGUGGAUAGAGUGAUUGUUUCCUAAGAAAAAGGUCGUGGGUUCGACCCCUAGCUGAUGCA